AAGUGUAAUGUUGUUACACUAGAUUAUUGAAAUUAUUAUUAACUAAUAGUACUAAUACAAGAGGCUUUAAUUUUGAAACUGGUAUCAGGAAUAAUUUCACAGUGAAGUCAUGUGAUCACAAGCACAAAACUAUUGUUAUUUUUAUUUCUUUUUACAUAUAUAAUUUGUAUUUCUUUUUUUUAUUAGUUUGAUUUUCUUUUUGGAAUUGUUAAUCUAUAUAAAAUGUUUAGGAACAACCGUUUACGUGAGUUACGUCGUGUGUUAGCGCUAGGGAAGGGCUGAUGUAAUUUCCUGUGCUCUCUCUCUUUCGCGGGAUGUCGUUGCGAUGAGAGGCACUGCUAGACCUGAUAUUCUUCUGUUACUACCUGCUGAUGUCUGUUAUACUUUGAUACAGAAACGUCGCUGAGAGUAAACCACGUGACAACUGCAUCAUGGUGUGAAGUCUCUUUUAUUAUCAAAACACACAACGCAGAAGGAAAUCCACUACACAUAUGUUAUGCUCUGCUCUGAUUGGCUGUUUCACAGUGUGGCUCUUUUUAGUAACUCAAAUAGCAGGAAGGAAACACAGGGAAGAUUUAUAUUUCAAUACUGUCUCUCGCAUUUAUAUCAUUGGGUAAUCAGAAUGAGCUUUAUUGCCAGGUAUGUUUACAUAUACAAGGAAUUGGUUUUCAUGACAGAAGCUUGCGCAGUGCAACAGAAUGACAGUGACAAAACAAAAGCAUGGAUUAAAAAAUAUUAAUAAAUAAAACAGAACAAUUAAAUGUGUAUAUGUUUUUACUUAUUUACAACUGUAUGUGGAUGUAUAUUCCAAAAGACAGUUUUGUAUGUACAGGUACAUCUUGUGUAAUUUUGAAGUGUAGACUAAGUGUGUGUGUGUUAGAUAAACAAGUGUAUGAGUGUAUAAAUAGUGUUGUGUGUUCCACAGUUUUUGUCAAGUGUUCAUGAGAUGGAUUGCCUGAGGGAAGAAACUGUUCCUGUGUCUGGCCAUUCUGGUGCUCAGAGCGCUGUAGCGUCGACCAGACGGCAACAGUUCAAGGAGAGAGUGUGUUGGAUGUGAAGGGUCCAGAGUGAUUUUACCAGCCCUUUUGCUCACUCUGGAUGAAUACAGUUCUUGGAGAGUGCUGGAUUUGGGUUUUCACAGCCUCACUAGCUGCUGCCUGUCUGUCUGGAAGCUGGUUAUCCACUAACAUCCGGAGGUGGACACGGAGAGCUGAGUUAGUUUGUACUGUAUAUAUAAUGCGGGCAUCAUGGAGCUGCUAUUAAUAUGCAAGGCAUUGAAACUGCUUUCAAAUGUACGAUCGCUUUUUACUUUCACAUCUUUGAGAUUUGUGAUCGCACAUGCUUUGUGUAAACUACAGCAGCAUUACUUACCACACAUUUUACAAGAUCAGAUGCUUGUAAGUGGUUCUCAUGAUCUGUAAAUUAUUCGCCAUCAUCCUCAGUCAUCUCUCCUUACUCUUUUUAUGUGGUAAGUGAAAUCUUAUGUACUGUAAUGUGACAGGCUACCGCUAGCAAGCAGUUAACCAUGUCCUUUUAGUGGCUCACGUUAUUCUAUUAGAAUGUACAUUCUUUUUUUCCCCAUGCCUUUCUGAAUACAGACACCAACCCAUCCCUGCACAUCAUGUCCCCUGCACAGCCUGGAACAAAACAUUUAUUUCCAUAAUCUGCAUAAUUUUGCUAUCAUCCUCACUUGUUUCUUCACAUUACCUGCAGAACUUCUGAUGAUUCAGCUGUGCAGGAUUAGGCUGGUUGCUGGCAUGGAACACGGGCAGGUAUAUGCAAAUGUUGGGGGUAUAACUAAUAGUGAUCCUAACUAUGUCACAGUCUGUGUUAUGUUCUGAUUUGCCUAUUUUUCAGUCUUUGAAAAGCCUUAUUUAAUAAUUUAGCCAUCUGUCACAAAUUACAUUUUAAAUUAAGAAUUUAAAGCAUCUAAAAUUAUCUUUCUCUACACUAAAAAAAGGGUAUCACUGGUCCUUCCCAAUCUAUGGAAAAUUUUUCCUUAAUAUCAACUGUCACACUGCUUCUGUUACAUAACAUUUCUUUUUGUAUGUCACAUUUUAAGAAAUAAAUCAAUUCAAAUUUUAA
Carassius auratus (goldfish) is the source of this 2085-nucleotide long non-coding RNA. RefSeq lists it as uncharacterized. The transcript has 3 exons. The record is from RefSeq and is a predicted model, not a curated record. Lineage: Eukaryota; Metazoa; Chordata; Actinopteri; Cypriniformes; Cyprinidae.